UGGGGAAUAUUGCACAAUGGGGGGAAACCCUGAUGCAGCGACGCCGCGUGAGUGAAGAAGUAUUUCGGUAUGUAAAGCUCUAUCAGCAAGGAAGAUAAUGACGGUACUUGACUAAGAAGCCCCGGCUAACUACGUGCCAGCAGCCGCGGUAAUACGUAGGGGGCAAGCGUUAUCCGGAUUUACUGGGUGUAAAGGGAGCGUAGACGGUAUGGUAAGUCAGAUGUGAAAGCCCGGGGCUUAACCCCGGAACUGCAUUUGAAACUAUCAAACUAGAGUGUCGGAGAGGUAAGUGGAAUUCCUAGUGUAGCGGUGAAAUGCGUAGAUAUUAGGAGGAACACCAGUGGCGAAGGCGGCUUACUGGACGAUAACUGACGUU
RNAcentral lists this ribosomal RNA (376 nucleotides) under uncultured Clostridium sp. RNAcentral's name for it is "bacterial SSU rRNA". It matches the Rfam family "Bacterial small subunit ribosomal RNA", at positions 355 to 747 of the family's 1533-position model. Lineage: Bacteria; Bacillati; Bacillota; Clostridia; Eubacteriales; Clostridiaceae. The record is from RNAcentral.